This 1132-nucleotide long non-coding RNA is filed under the name Dromaius novaehollandiae (emu). Its description in RNAcentral is "lncRNA (ENSDNVG00000015792.1)". The record is from RNAcentral. Lineage: Eukaryota; Metazoa; Chordata; Aves; Casuariiformes; Dromaiidae.
AUGAGAUGGGGUUAUGUGAUGAGGAAAGUAUUUGCCCAUUUAGAGCUUUCUGAAAGAGAAGCUGCAACAAGAAGUGAAGGUGUGAGAAACAAGGAGACAGCAAUGGAAGUCAUCAGCCAAAAUCCCCAGGAAGAAGCAGGCGGAACGAUUGAAGAUGAUCUCCCAGGAAGCUUAUGCUCCGAUCAGCAGUGUGAACCACAACUAGUGCCCAGCAAUUGUUUUCUGAUUGCAGUGUGUCUGCAGGUUUGGAGCCUCAGCAAGUGUCUGAGCCAUCCCGGAAAGGUCACUCCUCCCCUCCAGUAUAUCCAGUUCUGUCUUGCAGCUGCACUGGGCUUUUAGUGACUCUUUCUGAGAGUUAGCUUGUUAUGCUCAUUUACAUGUGGACUUUCCCUGGAUUUACACUGAUAUAGCAGUGCACUGUUUUUCCUGUAAUUUUAAAAUAAUUCUAAACCAUCCCAUCAAUACAAUAUUCAAUUUUGACUUUGACAUCUAAGAAAAUGAGCUACUCCUACCAACAGUUAUGCCCACCAUGCUAUCCCUGUUCCACUAUCGCGUUCUUUGGUACAAAAUGCCUCAAAACAGGAAGACCUGAACCAGAAGAGACCUGUUGUUUCUUUGUGAGAUGCUUGUGUGUUUCCCCAAUACUUUGUAAUUCUCCCCCCUAAACUGCUGUCACAUUGUACCGUGUAUAUAACAGUGAUUUCGCAAUGCUUAAGACCAUUUAUAUUUCUACAAGUGUGAAGAGGAGGUAUGAAGCGUUAUGAGAGUUACUCAGAGAUGCUGAGCUUUGAAUGUCAGUUGUAAAAGGAUGCCUGUUAGAACAGAAAGAAGACAGAAAAAUUUAGAUUUAUUUUUAGCUCUCAUUCAGGCAUAACAGUCAGAAGCACAAAGAAAAGAGCAGAGUUGCCAGGUAGCAAGUUUUCAUGAGUAAGUACCCUACCUGAAAUUAAAGUACAAAGAUCAUUCAAUUUUUUGUUGCAAACUCAUUAAUAGCAUUAACUAGGGAUGCAGAGUAGUUCUCUUUUUUUCUCUUUUUAAGCCAUACAGUUAAUACAAAACUCAAUUUAGGAUCACUAAUUUGUGAUCAAUAACUAAAAAUAAAGAGUUGAACAAAUGCUUAUUAAACUUUAGA